CCUACGGGUGGCAGCAGUGGGGAAUAUUGCACAAUGGGGGAAACCCUGAUGCAGCGACGCCGCGUGAGUGAAGAAGUAAUUCGUUACGUAAAGCUCUAUCAGCAGGGAAGAAAAUGACGGUACCUGAGUAAGAAGCCCCGGCUAACUACGUGCCAGCAGCCGCGGUAAUACGUAGGGGGCAAGCGUUAUCCGGAUUUACUGGGCGUAAAGGGAGCGUAGACGGUGCGACAAGUCAGGAGUGAAAUGCCGCAGCUUAACUGUGGAACUGCUUUGGAAACUGGCGAACUAGAGUGCGGGAGGGGUAGGUGGAAUUCUUAGUGUAGGGGUGAAAUGCGUAGAGAUUAGGAGGAACACCGGUGGCGAAGGCGGCUUACUGGACCGUAACUGACGCUGAGGCGCGAAAGCGUGGGGAGCAAACAGGAUUAGAUACCCGUGUAGUC
RNAcentral lists this ribosomal RNA (440 nucleotides) under uncultured bacterium. Its description in RNAcentral is "partial 16S ribosomal RNA". It matches the Rfam family "Bacterial small subunit ribosomal RNA", at positions 338 to 795 of the family's 1533-position model. The record is from RNAcentral.